RNAcentral lists this long non-coding RNA (330 nucleotides) under Manihot esculenta (cassava). RNAcentral describes it as "long non-coding RNA (MESC_LNC004319)". Lineage: Eukaryota; Viridiplantae; Streptophyta; Magnoliopsida; Malpighiales; Euphorbiaceae. The record is from RNAcentral.
UGGUCACCGUGCAGUCUCUUCCAUCUUUGAAUGAGAUGGCCACGGAUUCCACCACUACCGUGGCUCUUCCUGACGUAAUGAAGGCCUCGAUCCGGCCUGAUAUUGUGAACUUCGUCCACGCUAAUAUUUCCAAGAACAGCCGCCAGCCCUACGCUGUGUCCAAGCGCGCUGGUCACCAGACCUCCGCCGAGUCUUGGGGUACUGGACGUGCCGUUUCCCGUAUUCCUCGUGUACCCGGUGGUGGCACUCACCGUGCUGGUCAGGGUGCUUUCGGUAACAUGUGUCGUGGCGGGCGCAUGUUUGCUCCUACUAAAAUCUGGCGCCGCUGGC